This 469-nucleotide ribosomal RNA is filed under the name uncultured bacterium. RNAcentral describes it as "partial 16S ribosomal RNA". It matches the Rfam family "Bacterial small subunit ribosomal RNA", at positions 28 to 508 of the family's 1533-position model. The record is from RNAcentral.
GACGAACGCUGGCGGCGUGCUUAACACAUGCAAGUCGAACGGAAAGGCCCUGCUUUUGUGGGGUGCUCGAGUGGCGAACGGGUGAGUAACACGUGAGUAACCUGCCCUUGACUUUGGGAUAACUUCAGGAAACUGGGGCUAAUACCGGAUAGGAGCUCCUGCUGCAUGGUGGGGGUUGGAAAGUUUCGGCGGUUGGGGAUGGACUCGCGGCUUAUCAGCUUGUUGGUGGGGUAGUGGCUUACCAAGGCUUUGGCGGGUAGCCGGCCUGAGAGGGUGACCGGCCACAUUGGGACUGAGAUACGGCCCAGACUCCUACGGGAGGCAGCAGUGGGGAAUAUUGCACAAUGGGCGGAAGCCUGAUGCAGCAACGCCGCGUGCGGGAUGACGGCCUUCGGGUUGUAAACCGCUUUCGCCUGUGACGAAGCGUGAGUGACGGUAAUGGGUAAAGAAGCACCGGCUAACUACGUGC